RNAcentral lists this ribosomal RNA (465 nucleotides) under uncultured Klebsiella sp. RNAcentral's name for it is "bacterial SSU rRNA". It matches the Rfam family "Bacterial small subunit ribosomal RNA", at positions 338 to 795 of the family's 1533-position model. The record is from RNAcentral. Lineage: Bacteria; Pseudomonadati; Pseudomonadota; Gammaproteobacteria; Enterobacterales; Enterobacteriaceae.
CCUACGGGCGGCAGCAGUGGGGAAUAUUGCACAAUGGGCGCAAGCCUGAUGCAGCCAUGCCGCGUGUGUGAAGAAGGCCUUCGGGUUGUAAAGCACUUUCAGCGGGGAGGAAGGCGGUGAGGUUAAUAACCUCAUCGAUUGACGUUACCCGCAGAAGAAGCACCGGCUAACUCCGUGCCAGCAGCCGCGGUAAUACGGAGGGUGCAAGCGUUAAUCGGAAUUACUGGGCGUAAAGCGCACGCAGGCGGUCUGUCAAGUCGGAUGUGAAAUCCCCGGGCUCAACCUGGGAACUGCAUUCGAAACUGGCAGGCUAGAGUCUUGUAGAGGGGGGUAGAAUGCCAGGUGUAGCGGUGAAAUGCGUAGAGAUCUGGAGGAAUACCGGUGGCGAAGGCGGCUCCCUGGACAAAGACUGACGCUCAGGUGCGAAAGCGUGGGGAGCAAACAGGAUUAGAUACCCUUGUAGUC